RNAcentral lists this ribosomal RNA (254 nucleotides) under uncultured bacterium. RNAcentral's name for it is "partial 16S ribosomal RNA". It matches the Rfam family "Bacterial small subunit ribosomal RNA", at positions 524 to 776 of the family's 1533-position model. The record is from RNAcentral.
UACGGAGGGGGCGAGCGUUAUUCGGAAUUACUGGGCGUAAAGGGCGCGUAGGCGGUCUUCUAAGUCUUGUGUGAAAUCCCUCGGCUCAACUGAGGAACUGCACGGGAUACUGGAAGACUUGAGUUCGGGAGAGGGAAGCGGAAUUCCGGGUGUAGCGGUGAAAUGCGUAGAUAUCCGGAGGAACACCGGUGGCGAAGGCGGCUUCCUGGACCGAUUACUGACGCUGAGGCGCGAAAGCUAGGGGAGCAAACGGG